AGAGAGCUUGCUCUCGGGUGAUGAGUGGCGGACGGGUGAGUAAUGUCUGGGAAACUGCCUGAUGGAGGGGGAUAACUACUGGAAACGGUAGCUAAUACCGCAUAACGUCGCAAGACCAAAGAGGGGGACCUUCGGGCCUCUUGCCAUCAGAUGUGCCCAGAUGGGAUUAGCUAGUAGGUGGGGUAAUGGCUCACCUAGGCGACGAUCCCUAGCUGGUCUGAGAGGAUGACCAGCCACACUGGAACUGAGACACGGUCCAGACUCCUACGGGAGGCAGCAGUGGGGAAUAUUGCACAAUGGGCGCAAGCCUGAUGCAGCCAUGCCGCGUGUAUGAAGAAGGCCUUCGGGUUGUAAAGUACUUUCAGCGGGGAGGAAGGUGUUGUGGUUAAUAACCACAGCAAUUGACGUUACCCGCAGAAGAAGCACCGGCUAACUCCGUGCCAGCAGCCGCGGUAAUACGGAGGGUGCAAGCGUUAAUCGGAAUUACUGGGCGUAAAGCGCACGCAGGCGGUCUGUCAAGUCGGAUGUGAAAUCCCCGGGCUCAACCUGGGAACUGCAUUCGAAACUGGCAGGCUAGAGUCUUGUAGAGGGGGGUAGAAUUCCAGGUGUAGCGGUGAAAUGCGUAGAGAUCUGGAGGAAUACCGGUGGC
Molecule: ribosomal RNA, 649 nt
Filed under: uncultured Gammaproteobacteria bacterium
Lineage: Bacteria; Pseudomonadati; Pseudomonadota; Gammaproteobacteria
Description: bacterial SSU rRNA
Rfam family: Bacterial small subunit ribosomal RNA
Source: RNAcentral